CAGUAGCCGCGGGAAUACGAAGGAGGCUAGCGUUGCUCGGAAUUACUGGGCGUAAAGGGAGCGUAGGCGGACAUUUAAGUCAGGGGUGAAAUCCCAGAGCUCAACUCUGGAACUGCCUUUGAUACUGGGUGUCUUGAGUGUGAUAGAGGUAUGUGGAACUCCGAGUGUAGAGGUGAAAUUCGUAGAUAUUCGGAAGAACACCAGUGGCGAAGGCGACAUACUGGAUCAUUACUGACGCUGAGGCUCGAAAGCGUGGGGAGCAAACAGGAUUAGAUACCCCUGUAGUCCCUGUCUCUUAUAC
This 301-nucleotide ribosomal RNA is filed under the name uncultured bacterium. RNAcentral describes it as "partial 16S ribosomal RNA". It matches the Rfam family "Bacterial small subunit ribosomal RNA", at positions 509 to 807 of the family's 1533-position model. The record is from RNAcentral.